GCGGCGUGCUUACACAUGCAAGUCGAACGAAGAGACCUGGAAGCUUGCUUCUAGCGAUCUUAGUGGCGAACGGGUGAGUAACGCGUAACCAACCUGCCCUUUAGAGGGGGAUAACAACGGGAAGCCGUUGCUAAUACCGCGUACGCUCACUUCUCGGCAUCGGGAAGUGAGGAAAGGUGGCCUCUAUUUAUAAGCUAUCGCUAAAGGAGGGGGUUGCGUCUGAUUAGCUAGUUGGAGGGGUAGCGGCCCACCAAGGCAAUGAUCAGUAGCCGGUCUGAGAGGAUGAACGGCCACAUUGGGACUGAGACACGGCCCAGACUCCUACGGGAGGCAGCAGUGGGGAAUCUUCCGCAAUGGACGAAAGUCUGACGGAGCAACGCCGCGUGAGUGAUGAAGGUUUUCGGAUUGUAAAGCUCUGUUAAUCGGGACGAAUGGUUUCUAUGUAAAUAAUGUAGGGAUUUGACGGUACCGGAAUAGAAAGCCACGGCUAACUACGUGCCAGCAGCCGCGGUAAUACGUAGGUGGCAAGCGUUGUCCGGAAUUAUUGGGCGUAAAGCGCGCGCAGGCGGAUUUGUCAGUCUGUCUUAAAAGUUCGGGGCUUAACCCCGUGAGGGGAUGGAAACUACAAAUCUAGAGUAUCGGAGAGGAAAGUGGAAUUCCUAGUGUAGCAGUGAAAUGCGUAGAUAUUAGGAAGAACACCGGUGGC
This 706-nucleotide ribosomal RNA is filed under the name uncultured bacterium. RNAcentral's name for it is "bacterial SSU rRNA". It matches the Rfam family "Bacterial small subunit ribosomal RNA", at positions 39 to 716 of the family's 1533-position model. The record is from RNAcentral.